AACAAUACAUAGGAAGUGCAUAAACAGUAGAGUGUACGCCGGUAGGUGCGACGCCAGACGUUUCUGUUGUUUUGACAAACGUUUUUGGAUACUAUACACAAAAAAUAGAGGAAAAUCAUUAUGGCCAGAAGAAAAUACUCGUUGGCUAAGAGGCCGCUGGCAUCUAUGGUAUGACGUGAACAUCCGAGCUACUGAAUAGUGAUUACGAACAGAUGAGAAAUAUCAAAGUGACUUGAACCGAAUAAGGUAAGCGGAACGAUUAAUUGCAAUGUAAAAAAAAAAAAAAAGCAAGCGACAAGCUUCGUGAUCAGCGUCACGCCCGCAUGACUCGCACCUCAAGAGGAGGUCCUGGAUGGAUUCACUGGAGACCAAACUCCACUCUUAAUUAAUUCCGAUUCCCACCGACAGCGAAGAUCCGUCCACCUAGAGCGGAGAGGCCAGCCCGCAGUAAAUGUUGCAGCGGCAGAGAGAGCUUCCAGGACCCCGCAUUUAGGCCUGGACCCACCGCCGGCCUCCCGACCAUGAGCCGCAUCCGCAUUACGGCCAACGGCGUCUCUACGUCUAUGCUUCGCCGCAUCGUAUUGGUAACCGCGGUGAGCAUCUUGUUCGUUGUGGCCUUCUUCGGCUACUCCUAUAUCAGUGACAACCUCCACCGCGGCUUCCUGGGGCGGUAUAUGCACCACCCGCGCCAGAAGGUGCACCACGCCGUGGCCAACGUAAAGAACGUCAACGUCGUCCCCGACCAAGCAAAAUCUCACAUGGGAAACAUUUACAUUGACAACAUUCAUCACGAGUUUGAUGACUACUAUGAAGAAGAUUAUGACGAUGACUAUGAGGAGGAUGAAGAUGAUGAAGAGGAAGAUGAUGAUGACGAUGAUGAUGAUGAUGACGACGAUGACGAUGAUGAUGAUGAUGAUGAUGAUGACUAUUACGGUGAGGAUUAUGAUAGACAUGCGUUGAGAUAGUGGGACAUCUGCAUACAAAAAUGAAAAUCGAUUAUCAUGUGUCCGAGAUGUCAAACUAUACUGGCGAAACCUAGGUAAACCAGGCGCCAGGCAAGUAAGCUUCGUUCUCACACCUCUUAUAAACUGGAGAGCCUUCCAGUGGAAUCUACAGACAAAACUCGCCAUCUGAGUGAUAUAGGUUUUAAUUUCAUGGGCAAGCAGCAGAAGUCUGAAACGCCGUUAUCUGUAAUUUUGCGUGUGUAUGCGUUUGUGUGUGUGCGUGCGUGUGUGUGCGUCAUUCUCCCUUUCAAGCGAAGUUUUUGCAAAUUUCUGUAUAAUGAUGUUGUUAGCUUUAUGUGAUGUAUAUUAUGAUUUAAUUUAAUAGUGUGGACAUGUGAUAGAUAUAAUGUUAAUGAAUAAAAAGUAAGUUGAUA
RNA transcript from Penaeus monodon (black tiger shrimp), 1378 nucleotides. It is a transcript of the gene named calsequestrin-1-like, with no coding region annotated. The transcript has 2 exons. Lineage: Eukaryota; Metazoa; Arthropoda; Malacostraca; Decapoda; Penaeidae. The record is from RefSeq and is a predicted model, not a curated record.